AGAUGCCUCCUCUGGCUCCUCCUUCACUGCACCUCCUCUAAAGUGGCGACAAUGGCCGACGCCAUGCCGACGGUUCCCUAUAAAAUUAACUCGCCCCCAAGCCCCUCUUCUCUUUCUAGCACCUCCCGGAGCAUCCCAGCACCACCGCGGACUCCUACCUCUCCUUCCUCCCUUCUCCCAAUGACCAGAGCAUAGCCCCAAGAAUGUUGUGUCUGGUCUCCCCCGCGGCUAGGUCGCCCUCUCCCCGGUGCUCCCCCGACGGGAAUGACACCCCAGGCAGGCGUGGGGCUUCCUCCCAAGUCCUCCGGUGGCUGGAGCACCGCUAGAGGUAGCCGGUGCCGCUGGGGCAACGCUGGCGAGCGCUCGGCCCCGACGCCCCUGUCUCGCCCUUGCUCAAGUGGGAGGUGGAAGAUGAACUGACGGCCGGGCCCCGCGCGUCCAAGGAGCCAAAGUCGGGCCUCUCAAUUUAAGUGGAGGCACCUACCCCCGUUGUUCCUUCGCCGGAAGAAGGCAUAUUGCGGGCAAUACGCUUUCACUGUGGCCCUUCGCGCGCAGGCUAGAGUACUGGGACGACCCAUUUGCUAUCUUGCGCCCCCGGUGCAGUAUAGUCUUUGGUACUCCCUGUGCUUUUUUCCUUUUCGAGUAAAUACUAUUUAAUCCUAAUAAAUUCAUAUGGGCUCCAAAUUUAGUGAUUCAAAUUCCUAGGAACUCGUAAAAUCUUUUCCUAUCCAGAUAUGUGGCUUGCACAUUUUUCCAGAGAGUUUUUCUUCACUGUCCUAUUCAAAACUUCAACUUUGAAUAUUUCAAACCCACCUUGUAAAAUUCCUACAAAGCUCAAAUCAACUCCAAAUGGAGUGAUUCCAAUUUCCAGAGACUUAUAAAAUCAUGCUCUGAUUUUCUGUCCUUAUUCAGCAUUUUUCUCUGCCAUAUUUCUAUUGCAUCAAAUAAAUAGUACCAAUUUUUAUUUAUUCCAUGUUACAAAAUACAUAGAAAAAUCAUACCAACUCUAAAUCCUGUGAAACCACUUCCUAAAUAUUUCUAAAAUUAUGCCCUAUUAAAUGAGUUCCUCACUCAUUUUUAGCAGAUAUUUUGUGUAGACUUCUUGUGGGGCCAGUGAGGCAUCCAUUUCCACCAUUCAAAAAUCUCUGGUGAUCCAAAUCCCUUAGAACAACUUUAGCCAUUUUCUUAUGACUAGAGAUGUCCAAGAGUAAUAAAACUCCUAUUUAUAGAGCACUCUGUGUUUCUUCUUGUUUUGUGGCUUAUCGUUGUUGUUUCCGACGAUAGUUGGCAAAAUAAGCGGAGUACUCGGAGUUAGACCGGAAGACCUCGAAGGCCCCGGGGACCUAUUUGAGCAAGGCAAGCAGCCCUCUGACAAUGCCUAAGAAAUUUUACUUGCAUGUCAUAUGAUGCUUGACUUAUGCACAUAUUCCUGUUGGAUUGGAGACCCCCGCCCCCCUUGUUGGGUUGUCCCCGAAAAACACCUUGUUGAGACCUGCAUUUGGGCAUGACCCUACCACCAAUGAGGGUUGUGCAUGUGGGAUGUAGCUAGUUGGAAGUAGUUGCUACGCAAAAAAUGGUGGGAACAUGCAUGGUGACGAUGAAGGGUGUGUUACAAAGGUUUUCCAAAAACCCCGUCGGGUGCCACUAAUGCCCGAGGGUUAUGGUGUUGAGAUG
This 1674-nucleotide long non-coding RNA is filed under the name Hordeum vulgare. RNAcentral describes it as "long non-coding RNA (HVUL_LNC019611)". The record is from RNAcentral. Lineage: Eukaryota; Viridiplantae; Streptophyta; Magnoliopsida; Poales; Poaceae.